UACGUAGGGGGCAAGCGUUGUCCGGAAUCAUUGGGCGUAAAGCGCGUGUAGGCGGCCCAGUAAGUCCGCUGUGAAAGCCCAGGGCUCAACCCUGGGAUGCCGGUGGAUACUGUUGGGCUCGAGUCCGGAAGAGGCGAGUGGAAUUCCCGGUGUAGCGGUGAAAUGCGCAGAUAUCGGGAGGAACACCAAUGGCGAAGGCAGCUCGCUGGGACGUGACUGACGCUGAGACGCGAAAGCGUGGGGAGCAAAC
Molecule: ribosomal RNA, 250 nt
Filed under: uncultured bacterium
Lineage: Bacteria
Description: partial 16S ribosomal RNA
Rfam family: Bacterial small subunit ribosomal RNA
Source: RNAcentral